UUUAGAGUUUGAUCCUGGCUCAGGAUGAACGCUAGCGGCGUGCCUAAGGUAUGCAAGUCGUAUGUGAGCCCGACGCAAGUCGGGCCGAACAUGGCGAACGGGUGAGUAACGCGUGGGAAUCUGCCUAGAAGACAGAGAUAACCCCGAGAAAUCGGGGCUAAUAUCUGAUAAUCUCGCAAGAGCAAAGCAGCAAUGCACUUCUAGAUGAGCCCGCGCCCUAUCAGCUUGUUGGUGAGGUAAUGGCUCACCAAGGCUAUGACGGGUAGGGGGUCUGAGAGGAUGUCCCUCCACAAUGGCACUGAGACAAGGGCCAUACGCCUACGGGUGGCAGCAAUUAGGAAUCUUGCACAAUGGACGAAAGUCUGAUGCAGCGACGCCGCGUGAAGGAUGAAGGCCGGAAGGUUGUAAACUUCUUAAUUCCCCGUAAGGGGGAGGAUUCAGUCACGGCAAACUACGUGCCAGCAGCAGCGGUAAAACGUAGGUGACGAGCGUUAUCCGGAAUUAUUGGGCGUAAAGAGUGCGUAGGUGGUUCGAUUAGUCCCGACUUAAAUCCCCUGGCUCAACCAGGGAAGCGUCGGGAUACUGUCGGACUCGAGGGAGGUAGGGGGUGGCGGAAUCUUGCAAGGAGGGGUGAAAUCCGAUGAUCUGCGAGAGAACACCAAAGGCGAAGGCAGCCACCUGGGCCUUUCCUGACACUGAGGCACGAAAGCUAGGGGAGCGAAACGGAUUAGAUACCCGUGUAGUCCUAGCCGUAAACGAUGGACACUAGCUAUCCGGUUUCGGGUAGCGUAAGCUAACGCGUUAAGUGUCCCGCCUGGGGAGUACGGCCGCAAGGCUAAAACUCAAAGGAAUUGACGGGGUUCCGCACAAGCGGUGGAGCAUGUGGUUUAAUUCGAUGAUAACCGAAGAACCUCACCAGGGUUUGACAUUUUGUUGUAAUCCCGACGAAAGUCGGGGCCUCCCGCAAGGGACAGCAGAACAGGUGUUGCAUGGCUGUUGUCAGUUCGUGGCGUGAGCUGUAUGGUUAAGUCCCACAACGAACGCAACCCCUAGUCCGUGUUAAAAAUGUCACGGACGACUGCCCGGGCAACCGGGAGGAAGGAGGGGACGACUUCAAGUCAGCAUGGCCUUUAUGCCCUGGGCUACACACAUGCUACAAUGGCGGCCACAACGGGUUGCAAAACAGUAAUGUUGAGCUAAUCCAAAAAAGCCGUCUCAGUCCGGAUUGAGGGCUGCAACUCGCCCUCAUGAAGUAGGAAUCGCUAGUAAUGGCCGGUCAGCUAUACGGCCGUGAAUACGUUCUCGGAACUUGUACACACCGCCCGUCAAAUGGGGAAAGUUGGGGUUCGCUGAAGAUUCGCGUUAAGCGGGUCGAGGCGGAAACCAGCGAUCAACAUUAAGUCGUAACAAGGUAGCCGUAGGGGAAUCUGCGGCUGGAUCACCUCCUUUCUAAGGAG
RNAcentral lists this ribosomal RNA (1457 nucleotides) under candidate division WWE3 bacterium RIFCSPHIGHO2_01_FULL_48_15. RNAcentral's name for it is "bacterial SSU rRNA". It matches the Rfam family "Bacterial small subunit ribosomal RNA". The record is from RNAcentral. Lineage: Bacteria; candidate division WWE3.